AUUAAAGGAAAUAAGAGCGCACAGUGGAUGCCUGGGCACCAAGAGCUGAUGAAGGACGCAAUUAACGGCGAUACGCUACGGGGAGCUGUAAAUAAGUGUAGAUCCGUGGAUUUCCGAAUGGGGCAACCUACUAUAAGAAGUUAUAGUAUCAAUUGUUAGGCAACUAACUGAUUGAAAGGAACGCAGUGAACUGAAAUAUCUAAGUAACUGCAGGAACAGAAAGUAAUAACGAUUCCGGUAGUAGUGACGAGCGAAUCCGGAACAGCCAGAUACCAAUAACUAGUUACCAAAUUUUAAUUAACUCGAAAUAGUUGGAAAGCUAUAUCCCAGAAGGUGAAAAUCCUGUAGAGGUAAGUUAAAAUCUAGGGUAUCCUCAAGUACGGCGAGACACGAGAAAUCUUGUUGGAAGAUAGGAGGACCAUCUCCUAAGGCUAAAUACUCCUUGGUGACCGAUAGUGAACUAGUACCGUGAGGGAAAGGUGAAAAGAACCCCGGAAGGGGAGUGAAAUAGAUCCUGAAACUGUGUGCUUACAAGUAGUCAAAGCUCGUUUAAGAGUGAUGGCGUGCCUUUUGCAGAAUGAACCGGCGAGUUAUGAUAUAGAGCAAGGUUAAGUUUGAAGGAACGUAGCCGUAGCGAAAGCGAGUCUGAAUAGGGCGUUUAGUUGUAUGUCAUAGACCCGAAACUGAAGUGAGCUAGCCAUGAACAGGCUGAAGUGACGUGACCACGUCAUGGAGGGCCGAACCAGGACACGUUGAAAAGUGUUUGGAUGAUUUGUGGCUAGAGGUGAAAUUCCAAUCGAACUCAGAGAUAGCUGGUUCUCCCCGAAAUAGUUUUAGGGCUAGCGUUGGGUAUUUAAUAGUUCUUGAAGGUAGAGCACUAAAUGAGUGCGGGCUCCACCUCGGAGUACCAAUCUCAAUUAAACUCCGAAUGUCAAGAACUGUAUCCCAGCAGUCAGACUAUGGGUGAUAAGGUCCAUGGUCAAAAGGGAAAGAGCCCAGACCGUCAGCUAAGGUCCCUAAAUUAAUGUUAAGUGGUUAAGGAAGUAAAAACGUUAAAACAAUUAGGAAGUUGGCUUAGAAGCAGCCAUCUUUUAAAGAGUGCGUAAUAGCUCACUAAUCUAAUAUUUUUGCACCGAAAAUGUAACGGGGCUAAACAUUAUACCGAAGCUACGGAUAUGUUCCGGUUAGUAAUAGCUAAGGAACAUGUGGUAGGGGAAGCGUUCUAACAUCGUAGAAGCUAUAGCGGAAGCAGUAGUGGAGAGGUUAGAAGUGAGAAUGCCGGUGUAAGUAACGAAAAGAUAGAUGAGAAUUCUAUCCGUCGAAAACCUAAGGUUUCCAGGGGCAGGGUCGUCCGCCCUGGGUUAGUCAGGAACUAAGGCGAGGCAGCAAUGCGUAGUCGAUGACUAGCAGGCUAAAAUUCCUGCACUAAAAAAAUCACUGAUGGAGGGACAAAAGAGGAUAAGCACGCCCUUUAUUGGAUUAGGGUCGAAAAAUCGAGUUUGAGAAGAUAGGCAAAUCCGUCUUCUUAUUUGCCAAAAAAUGAGAUUUGAGGGUAACGUGACUGUGUUCAUAUUUUCUAGAAAAGCUUCUAGGGUUAAUGAUUUUUUUACCUGUACCGUAAACCGACACAGGUGGGAAGGUAGAGUAUACUAAGACGCGCGAGAAAACUCUUGUUAAGGAACUCGGCAAAAUGACUCCGUAACUUCGGGAUAAGGAGAGCUUUUAUGAUAAAAAGUAAAAGCCGCAGAGAAUAGGCCCAAGCGACUGUUUAUCAAAAACACAGGUCUCUGCUAAACCGUAAGGUGAUGUAUAGGGGCUGAUGCCUGCCCGGUGCUGGAAGAUUAAGAGGAGAUGUUCGGGCUUCUUGCCCAAAGCAUUGAAUUGAAGUCCCAGUGAACGGCGGCCGUAACUAUAACGGUCCUAAGGUAGCGAAAUUCCUUGUCGGGUAAAUUCCGACCUGCACGAAAGGCAUAACGAUUUGGGCGCUGUCUCAACAAGAGUCUCGGUGAAAUCAAAUUACCGGUGAAAAUGCCGGUUACCCGCGACAGGACGAAAAGACCCCAUGGAGCUUUACUGUAGCUUAAUAUUGGAAUUGGAAAUCUCAUGUACAGGAUAGGUGGGAGACAGAGAACUUUAGACGCUAGUUUAAAGGGAGUCACCGGUGGGAUACCACUCUUGAGAUUUUUAGUUUCUAACCUGCAUAAGUGGAUUAUGAGGGACAGUGUUUGGUGGGCAGUUUGACUGGGGCGGUCGCCUCCUAAAAAGUAACGGAGGCGUUCAAAGGUUCCCUCAAAAUGGUCAGAAAUCAUUUUUAGAGCGUAAAGGUAUAAGGGAGCUUGACUGUGAGACCUACAAGUCGAGCAGGGACGAAAGUCGGACUUAGUGAUCUUGCGGUACCGAAUGGAAGGGCCGUGACUCAACGGAUAAAAGCUACCCUGGGGAUAACAGCCUUAUCGCCCCCGAGCGUUCACAGCGACGGGGCGGUUUGGGACCUCGAUGUCGGCUCAUCGCAUCCUGGAGCUGGAGCAGGUUCCAAGGGUUGGGCUGUUCGCCCAUUAAAGCGGUACGCGAGCUGGGUUCAGAACGUCGUGAGACAGUUCGGUCUCUAUCCGUCGUGGGCGUUGGAAAUUUGCGAGGAACUGUCCCUAGUAUGAGAAGACCGGGAUGGAUAUACCGCUGGUGCACCAGUUGGUUCGCCAGAGCCAUAUCUGGGUAGCUAUGUAUAGUAUGGAUAAACACUGAAAGCAUCUAAGUGUGAAGCCUCCCUCAAGAUGAGAUUUCCCUAAGAGAUCCCUGAAAGACGAUCAGGUUGAUAGGCUAGAAGUGGAAGAGUAGUGAUAUUUGGAGCUGACUAGUACUAAUAGAUCCAACGACUUUGAUGA
RNAcentral lists this ribosomal RNA (2882 nucleotides) under Candidatus Phytoplasma planchoniae. RNAcentral describes it as "23S ribosomal RNA". It matches the Rfam family "Bacterial large subunit ribosomal RNA". The record is from RNAcentral. Lineage: Bacteria; Bacillati; Mycoplasmatota; Mollicutes; Acholeplasmatales; Acholeplasmataceae.